Vicia faba (fava bean) is the source of this 207-nucleotide non-coding RNA. The record is from the annotation of a GenBank genome assembly. Lineage: Eukaryota; Viridiplantae; Streptophyta; Magnoliopsida; Fabales; Fabaceae.
AUGAUACAAGCUUGGAAAUAUAUCUAUUUUCUGCGAUUGUCGCAUAUGUAUCUGAUGGUGCGAUUGUCGCUGAUUGAUAUAUAUAUUGACUAUUUACACAUGGGAAUAAUAUUCAUCUGGUCCUGCAACAUUUUUACAAAAGACAAGGCAAGGGUGUGUCACUUUGCAGACAAAUUUGCUCCUGAUGCAAACAGCCAGGGAGGCUGA